This 468-nucleotide ribosomal RNA is filed under the name uncultured bacterium. RNAcentral's name for it is "partial 16S ribosomal RNA". It matches the Rfam family "Bacterial small subunit ribosomal RNA", at positions 28 to 507 of the family's 1533-position model. The record is from RNAcentral.
GAUGAACGCUGGCGGCGUGCUUAACACAUGCAAGUCGAACGGAAAGGCCCAGCUUUUGUGGGGUGCUCGAGUGGCGAACGGGUGAGUAACACGUGGGUAACCUGCCCUUGACUUUGGGAUAACUUCAGGAAACUGGGGCUAAUACCGGAUAGGAGCACCUCCUAGAUGGUGGGGGUUGGAGAGUUUCGGCGGUUGGGGAUGGUCUCGCGGCUUAUGAGCUUGUUGGUGGGGUAGUGGCUUACCAGGGCUUUGGCGGAUAGCCGGCCUGAGAGGGUGACCGGCCACCUUGGUGCUGAGGUGAGGCCCAGACGCCUACGGGGGGCAGCAGUGGGGAAUACUGCACAAUGGUCGGAAGCAGGAUGAAGCAGCGCCGCGUGCGGGAUGACGGCCUUCGGGUUGUAAACCGCUUUCGCCGGUGACGAAGAGUGUGUGACGGUAAUGGGUAAAGAAGCACCGGCUAACUACGUG